RNAcentral lists this transfer RNA (83 nucleotides) under Dreissena polymorpha. RNAcentral describes it as "tRNA-Cys". It matches the Rfam family "tRNA". Rfam says of the family: Transfer RNA (tRNA) molecules are approximately 80 nucleotides in length. Lineage: Eukaryota; Metazoa; Mollusca; Bivalvia; Myida; Dreissenidae. The record is from RNAcentral.
GUUGUUGUGGUCGAGUGGUUAAGGCGAUAUACUACAUCUAUCUUUGGAUUCUACCGUGCAGGUUCGAAUCCUGCCGACAGGCA